RNAcentral lists this ribosomal RNA (468 nucleotides) under uncultured bacterium. RNAcentral describes it as "partial 16S ribosomal RNA". It matches the Rfam family "Bacterial small subunit ribosomal RNA", at positions 28 to 507 of the family's 1533-position model. The record is from RNAcentral.
GACGAACGCUGGCGGCGUGCUUAACACAUGCAAGUCGAACGGAAAGGCCCUGCUUUUGUGGGGUGCUCGAGUGGCGAACGGGUGAGUAACACGUGAGUAACCUGCCCUUGACUUUGGGAUAACUUCAGGAAACUGGGGCUAAUACCGGAUAUGAGCUCCUGCUGCAUGGUGGGGGUUGGAAAGUUUCGGCGGUUGGGGAUGGACUCGCGGCUUAUCAGCUUGUUGGUGGGGUAGUGGCUUACCAAGGCUUUGACGGGUAGCCGGCCUGAGAGGGGGACCGGCCACAUUGGGACUGAGAUACGGCCCAGACUCCUACGGGAGGCAGCAGUGGGGAAUAUUGCACAAUGGGCGGAAGCCUGAUGCAGCAACGCCGCGUGCGGGAUGACGGCCUUCGGGUUGUAAACCGCUUUCGCCUGUGACGAAGCGUGAGUGACGGUAAUGGGUAAAGAAGCACCGGCUAACUACGUG